AUUGAGAAAGAAAAGAAGGAAAAUGAGUAACUAAAAACUGAAUCUUUUAUUAUGAAUACAUUCAAAAUCCCAUAGGAUUAGUUGGAAAAGUAACAAAAGCUUAGAAAUAUAGAGCAAAAGAAAGAUAAAUAAAGACAAUCGGCUCAAGAAAAGGUCAUGCUUUGAGCAAAAUAGGAAAAGGUACAAUCCUGAGUAAACAAGUGACAAGAA
RNAcentral lists this long non-coding RNA (210 nucleotides) under Capsicum annuum. RNAcentral's name for it is "long non-coding RNA (CANN_LNC005853)". The record is from RNAcentral. Lineage: Eukaryota; Viridiplantae; Streptophyta; Magnoliopsida; Solanales; Solanaceae.